This is a long non-coding RNA of Peromyscus leucopus (white-footed mouse), 2197 nucleotides long. RefSeq lists it as uncharacterized. Lineage: Eukaryota; Metazoa; Chordata; Mammalia; Rodentia; Cricetidae. The record is from RefSeq and is a predicted model, not a curated record. The transcript has 3 exons.
GGCAAGCUGAAGCAGGAGGCUAUCGAGUUUGAGGUCAUCAUCCAAAGCCACAAAGUGAGUUCUAGAGGAGCCUUGGGCUACACGGGGAGACCCUGCCUCAAACAAAGAAACCCCCGCACAUUAGCAGUGGGCAUGGCGAUUUCUUGAACUCUCUGACAGGUUCGACAACACCCAGGUGGGUAGGUAACAUUCAGACCACAUCACCAUGGUACCCAUGUAGGAUGAGAACAGCAAAUCCACACAGAACACAUCUACUGACAUGUGGAGCUUUUGUCAGGAUGGGAAAUUAUUUUGAGCAGCAAAGCAGUGACUGUAGGAGGAGAGGAAAAAAAUCCUCUAUGUGUUUAUUACAAUGCAGUCGAAGAAGAGUGCCCAAAUAAAGGAACUAUAAUAAAAUCAGUCCUGGCUUGCUGAACACAAAUAAGGGAAAGAUAUGGAACCCAGCUCCAUCCUCUCCAGAGUCCAUUUCUAUUAGGAUAUGACAAGAUUCAGUGACUGGGAAAGAUACAGAAGGGCUUCACCUUGACCCCAGAUGGCCACUUUAAAUCUCGGGUUCAAUGACAGGGUCUCAGCUAGCAGACACAGUUUGAAUCAAAUCCCUAACAAAGAGAGGAGGCUUGGAGCCUGCUUAUUUGCAGAAGCUGCUGGAAACCCUUUUGAUUUUGGGGAGCCACAGAGGGUGCUGGAGCAUCUGCAGUCCGCAGGCACAGGCGGGCGGGCGGCGAUUCCCCAGGCAAGCUGAUUUGGUUUUGCCAGUAAUGUGAGCUCAUUUGCAAUUUUCUUCUCCUUUUAUCAGGCUUGAAAUCAGGUGUUGAAAUUCUGUAAAGGGUGUGUGGAGGCAUGCUAAGCCAGAGGGUGUGUGCUCUCUUGUCUCCACUCUGGGGGACGGCCGGCUGGCCGUGCAUCAUUUUUUACAGCUGUAUUUGCACAGUUGGGGAAGUAACAGUGUCAUCUUGGAACGGCAGACACAAUGAUAUACGUGUUUGGGGGCAUCUAUAGAGCACAGUGAAUCAUGCAGUCUGCGAGUCAGCCGCUCUAUAAGUCAAUCCACGGUGCCCACCGAAAGCUCCAUAGGAGCUGUGUUCAGAGGAGGCUUCCGUAUCAAAUCCCUCUGCUGCUAUGCAGAGGCACGGGUAGCCAACGGAAAUCUUCGAGAUUGAAUUUUUGAAAGCAUUUUGUCUGCAGUGUGACAUAUUUGGAGGAAAGGGGCUGUGUUAAAUUGUGAAAGCUCCUCACUUGUGGGGAAUCGGAAGAAAAGCCCGUAAUUAUCACACUCUGUACUCCCCAUGUACCUGUGAAUUGGGAAUUCUGGACUUUCAGAGGGGCUAAUGGAAUGUCUACCCAUGAACGCAGAUCCUGCCUGGGCCUAUUAUUGGAGAAACAGAAACAGAAGAUGCUGGAAGCAGAUGACAGCAAACAAAACCCACGGGCACCUAGGAGAGCACGGUCACCUGCCUGCUCCAGCUGGGAUAAAGAGCGCUACCUCAGAGGAGUAAUAAACUUGACCUCCCUUCAUCUACUGUCUUUGAGGCCGUGUUGGUUAAAGAACAAGCCUGUGGCAUGUUGGGUUCGGGGACUCGGUUUAAAGCCCUUGGGUAUUUUACCCGUGUCCUUGAGGAUCCUGUUCACACCCUCUGAGACUUCAUACUUUCAUCUGUGAAAUGACUUUGGUAAUGACUUCAAUUCAGAGGGUUAUGAGAACGUUUGUGGUCCCCAUGGGGCCCAAGCUGUGGGAGGGUCAGAGCAGUUAACGGUGGUAAUUCCAGGAUGCCUGCCUGAGACCGACCCACUCCCGGAAUAUGUCAAGAUGAGGGAUACGUGGCGAAGGGUAGGCAGAUUAGGUUCAGCAGCAGAAGAGAGAAGGAAGGAAUAAUUCACUAAGCCUGUCUUAAAUUGAUAAGAGAAAAAGGAAUUUGGGGAUGGAAAAGAAUGUGCUACAGUCCUUUAGGUCUACCGCUGGGACCACAUACCACAGCCUCUCCAGGCUUGUCUUGGAAUGCUAUAUUCCAAGCAGCUUGUUUACGUGUGUCUGAAAAUGCUUUUGGAUUUGAGAAAAAUAUAUACGGGAACAGGAAUGACCUCAGAACCUGCUCCUUUGCAAACAGACCUCCAGUCUCCCUGCUUAGUGCACAUGUAUUUUCCAUCUUUCUCAACCUGCAGCCCCUCACCCCAGACACAGUGUCAUCAUCCCCCCCCC